AGGGUCUUCCGUAUAUUCUCCCCGCACCGGGUCCGUGCUCGGCUUAGUGGAGGAAGAGGAGAAGAAGGGGAAGACAAGGGCGGCACAGUAGCUUACCUGCUGAUGUUGGCUGUGGUGAUGGAGCCUGCUACCGGAGCGGUAGGAGAGUGGCCCACAGCGGGAGCAUGGCCAGAGUGGUGGAAAGACAGUGGGGCAGGUUUUUCUGGCUUUGCCUGCCCAGCAGUCUGUGCCCACCUAGAGGAGGAGGAGGGGCCACCUUGCCACAUGCUGGAGGCUGGAGCCUGCAGCCUGCAGAUGGCACAGUACUACAGCUUGCCUCGCUGCGGUUGGUGGCAGUGAUGGAGACUGCAGCUCGACCCCAGCGAUAGGAGGCUGGAGGAGUUACUUCCCAGGUUGUGGUGACAUAGGAACAUUCACUGUCCACAACUCCUGGAGGGGCAGUCACCUUCACCUAUGGCUCCAAAAUUGGGGCUGUCAUCAGAGAGCAUCUCAACAGCUGGACCCAACAGAACAUCUGGCAAUGUCCCCAGGGCAAUGGUGGGCACAAGCAGUCAGGUCCUGGGACCCCUGCACAAUCCCCUGGUUCUCUUCAUGAAGAAAAAGCCACUCUGGUUAUAAUGAGGACUAGACCAAGAAUGAGGCCCAGUAUUACAUGCUCGGUGUGGUGAUCUGAAACGUCACCACAGGGACAAAUACAAAAAUACAAGUGGGAAACUACACUCAAACCCUUGGAUCAAGCCUCAGUCCUAUGCUUCUGAAGCAAAUUUCUUGUUUUUGGAGUCUGGUUUUCAACCACUGUAGACUCAGAUCAUUUAUUCUUCAGGCCCCCAAUGGGAUCAUCACAAGCACUUUUUCUGUCAAUCAUGGCAGUCACUUGAGAUCAAAGGUGAAUUUCUUCUUCCUCAAGUUAUAAGCAACACUUUGGCAUAUUUGGUGAACUUCAAAGAAAAUGGCUAAGAUAGAGGAUGAGAGACAUAAAAGGCCUCAGGAAUAUUUCAGCAGAUGCAAAGCAGACUACAGGGUAACUCAUUUCCUGUAUGAUUUGAUUGAUUGCAAAAUGUGAAAUUAAAUGCAUACAAAGGGGAAUGUGUGUCAUUUUUCCUCUUAAUGACAAAGUAAAAAAAAGCAAUAAAACAAAAACAAGCACUAUUUCAUAUGUCUUGAUAAACUUGUAGAGAGUCUUAUAAUAUCCACAAUAUCUAGGAUACAGUAAAAUAACUUUCCAUAUGAAGAACCAGAAGAACACAGCUUAAAUGAGAAAAGACAAUUGAUAGACACCAAUACUGAAAUAAUUUAGGUGCUGAUGUCAUGUAACUGAGAUUACUUAAGGAGUAAUUAUACAGUUCCUUCAGUGAGCAAUUUUAGACAUUAUUUUUUGAAGUUUUAGGUUCAAGGGUUCAUGUGCAGGUAUGUUACAUAGGUAAACUUGUGUCACAGGGGACAUUCUUGAAACAAGUGGAAAAGAAGCAAAUCCCGAAAAGAAAAAUAAGUCAUAAAAACAGACCAAAUUAAAAUUAGGAAACAGAAAAACGCAAUAAAUUAAAAACAACAGUCUGGAGGGACUCUGGAACAGGUAACAGUGAAAUUAAAGUUCAGGCAUUAGAGGAAUUAUUUACCGUUAAGUAGGGAAGAAAGUACAAACAAUAGCCAUCUAAGCCCAGCAGGGGGAGCUGUGGAUCUUCUCAGAGGUGAGCAAGGCCGGAAAUGAACUCGCGGGGCUCUCAAUUUUGGCUCCUGGGCCCAUACUCACUGGCCCGACCUGGGGCUUAGAGCAGGUGCUUUCUCCCAAAGGGCAAACUCAGAGUUCCCAGUAGCCCAUCCUCCCUGACAGAGCGGCUGCUCCCUGGCUGAGCACUCAGAACUUACGGAGCUUCUGGUUUUGGUAGAGGACCCAUGUUUGCAUAAUGUCCCAACCAAACACACAUCUACCCAAGGAGCUGAUGAGGAGUUAGAGGAACUGUCCCAGGGUCCAGAAGUAGCCGGGGGUUCUGGGGAUCCUUGGAAAGUCCACACCAUAGCUUGGAUGUCUAUCCUCCCCUCUCUCCCUCCUCACUGCCCAGGUUCAUGUAGAUUUCAAAGACAGGACUUUGGAGGGAUCUGUCUGCUGUGAUUCCUCACACAUAACAUGUAUCUGUUUUUGUUUCUUGGUUCAGUUCUCAGGCUGUGGUGACUCAGGAGCCCUCACUGACUGUGUCCCAAAGAGAGAGACUUAUUCUCAUGUGUGGCUUCAGCACCACAGCACUGAAUUCAGCAGAAGCCUGGUCAAGUCUUCAGGACAUUGAUGUGUAACACAGAUAACAAACACCCCUGGAUGCCCACUUGAUUCUCUGGCUCCCUCCUGGGGGGGGGGGGGGGGAAGCUGCCCUGACCCCUCAGGGGCCCAGCCUGAGAAUAAGGCUGAGUAUACUGCGGGCUACACCACAGCAGUCCUUAGCACAGUGAGAGACCCAGAUGGGGAUACAGGACAUGAACGAGCUUUUGGCUGAUCCUGGGUACAAACAUGAACGUAGGAUAUCAGGAUCACAUGGCCAGACACCUGAGCUCUCAAGGACACCUAAGUUUUAACUAUCCAUAGAGAGAAAGGUGGGUGGAGGGGUGUAAAUUGAUUCCUGUAUCUGUUUGAAUUUUAAUGUGGAAAAUAUUUGUGAAUUAUUUGGGAGAUGCAGAUUCCCAAAAAGAAGAAUUUAUGUUUAUAUUCCAAAAAGAACAGUACUAGUGGGAUCAACUGUAAAGACUAAGGUCAAACACACUUCAUCCAGAAAGAUGGAUCUCAAAAGAUUUUGUUGUUGUUUUGCCUAUUAAAAGCUAAGAGAGGAAAUUAUAUUAAUAAAGUUUAUUUCAUGUUCUAUGUUAAUAGUGUGUAUUUCAUAGCUUUUUAAGCAUUAAAAAUUAUAAAAGUGUUAAGAGGGAUUCUCUUCUCUAAUGUUAUAUAAGAAAGUAUCCACCUAGGAAAAUAUGUUGAAGGUCUAACCCCCAGUACUUCUAAAUGUGACCUUAUUUUUAAAAUAGUGUUAUUGCUUAUGUAAUUCUUAGGAUGAAGCCAUCCUAGAGCGAGGUGGCCUCUUGAUCCAAUGUGCCUGGUGUCCUUAUAAGAUGAUGGUAGUAAGGAGAUUGGAAGACACGGAGAGAAUGCCAUGUGAAGACGAAGGCAGAGAUUGAAUUUACACAGCUGCAAGACAAGGAGCACUAAAGAUUGCUGACAAACCACCAGCAGCCAGAAAGAGGGAAGGAAGGAUCUCCCCUCAGGUAUAUAUGGAAACAUUGCCCUUUCUAUGAAUUUUGGGAGGCUAGCCUCCAGAACUGUGAGACAAUACAUUUGUGUUAUCUUAACCAAACUUGUGUUUAAUACAUUCUGACAGCAGUUCUAGGAAACCAAUACACCAGACAAUAAAUUACACAAUACUUCUG
Gorilla gorilla gorilla (western lowland gorilla) is the source of this 3408-nucleotide long non-coding RNA. RefSeq lists it as uncharacterized. The record is from RefSeq and is a predicted model, not a curated record. The transcript has 3 exons. Lineage: Eukaryota; Metazoa; Chordata; Mammalia; Primates; Hominidae.